AAUGGCUCAUUAAAUCAGUUAUCGUUUAUUUGAUAGUACCUACCAACUACAUGGAUAACCGUGGUAAUUCUAGAGCUAAUACAUGCUAAAAACCCCGACUUCGGGAGGGGUGUAUUUAUUAGAUAAAAAACCAAUGCCCCUCGGGGCUCCUUGGUGAUUCAUAAUAACUCAACGGAUCGCAUGGCCUUGCGCCGGCGACGGUUCAUUCAAAUUUCUGCCCUAUCAACUUUCGAUGGUAAGGUAUUGGCUUACCAUGGUUUCAACGGGUAACGGGGAAUUAGGGUUCGAUUCCGGAGAGGGAGCCUGAGAAACGGCUACCACAUCCAAGGAAGGCAGCAGGCGCGCAAAUUACCCAAUCCCGACACGGGGAGGUAGUGACAAUAAAUACUGAUACAGGGCUCUUUUGGGUCUUGUAAUCGGAAUGAGUACAAUUUAAACCCCUUAACGAGGAACAAUUGGAGGGCAAGUCUGGUGCCAGCAGCCGCGGUAAUUCCAGCUCCAAUAGCGUAUAUUAAAGUUGUUGCAGUUAAAAAGCUCGUAGUUGAACCUUGGGCCUGGCUGGCCGGUCCGCCUCACCGCGUGUACUGGUCCGGCCGGGCCUUUCCUUCUGGAGAGCCGCAUGCCCUUCACUGGGUGUGUCGGGGAACCAGGACUUUUACUUUGAAAAAAUUAGAGUGUUCAAAGCAGGCCUUUGCUCGAAUACGUUAGCAUGGAAUAAUAGAAUAGGACGUGCGGUCCUAUUUUGUUGGUUUCUAGGACCGCCGUAAUGAUUAAUAGGGAUAGUCGGGGGCAUCAGUAUUCAAUUGUCAGAGGUGAAAUUCUUGGAUUUAUUGAAGACUAACUACUGCGAAAGCAUUUGCCAAGGAUGUUUUCAUUAAUCAGUGAACGAAAGUUAGGGGAUCGAAGACGAUCAGAUACCGUCGUAGUCUUAACCGUAAACUAUGCCGACUAGGGAUCGGGCGAUGUUUCUAUCUUGACUCGCUCGGCACCU
RNAcentral lists this ribosomal RNA (991 nucleotides) under Tetraploa sp. KT 2578. RNAcentral's name for it is "SSU rRNA". It matches the Rfam family "Eukaryotic small subunit ribosomal RNA", at positions 92 to 1088 of the family's 1831-position model. The record is from RNAcentral. Lineage: Eukaryota; Fungi; Ascomycota; Dothideomycetes; Pleosporales; Tetraplosphaeriaceae.